CCUACGGGGGGCAGCAGUGAGGAAUAUUGGUCAAUGGACGAGAGUCUGAACCAGCCAAGUAGCGUGAAGGAUGACUGCCCUAUGGGUUGUAAACUUCUUUUAUAUGGGAAUAAAAUGUUCCACGUGUGGGAUUUUGUAUGUACCAUAUGAAUAAGGAUCGGCUAACUCCGUGCCAGCAGCCGCGGUAAUACGGAGGAUCCGAGCGUUAUCCGGAUUUAUUGGGUUUAAAGGGAGCGUAGGUGGAUUGUUAAGUCAGUUGUGAAAGUUUGCGGCUCAACCGUAAAAUUGCAGUUGAAACUGGCAGUCUUGAGUACAGUAGAGGUGGGCGGAAUUCGUGGUGUAGCGGUGAAAUGCUUAGAUAUCACGAAGAACUCCGAUUGCGAAGGCAGUUCACUGGACUGCAACUGACAGUGAGGCUCGAAAGUGUGGGUAUCAAACAGGAUUAGAUACCCCUGUAGUC
Molecule: ribosomal RNA, 460 nt
Filed under: uncultured bacterium
Lineage: Bacteria
Description: partial 16S ribosomal RNA
Rfam family: Bacterial small subunit ribosomal RNA
Source: RNAcentral